This 1432-nucleotide ribosomal RNA is filed under the name Maribacter stanieri. RNAcentral's name for it is "16S ribosomal RNA". It matches the Rfam family "Bacterial small subunit ribosomal RNA". Lineage: Bacteria; Pseudomonadati; Bacteroidota; Flavobacteriia; Flavobacteriales; Flavobacteriaceae. The record is from RNAcentral.
CGCUAGCGGCAGGCCUAACACAUGCAAGUCGAGGGGUAACAGGGGGCUUGCUCCGCUGACGACCGGCGCACGGGUGCGCACCGCGUAUGGAACCUACCUUGUACAGGGGAAUAGCCCAGGGAAACUUGGAUUAAUGCCCCGUGGUACCAUGACCCGGCAUCGGGAUAUGGUUAAAGCCUUCGGGCGGUACAAGAUGGCCAUGCGUCCCAUUAGUUUGUUGGUAAGGUAACGGCUUACCAAGACUACGAUGGGUAGGGGCCCUGAGAGGGGGAUCCCCCACACUGGUACUGAGACACGGACCANACUCCUACGGGAGGCAGCAGUGAGGAAUAUUGGACAAUGGAGGAGACUCUGAUCCAGCCAUGCCGCGUGCAGGAAGAAUGCCCUAUGGGUAGUAAACUGCUUUUAUACGGGAAGAAAAAGAGCUACGUGUAGCUUACUGACGGUACCGUAAGAAUAAGGACCGGCUAACUCCGUGCCAGCAGCCGCGGUAAUACGGAGGGUCCGAGCGUUAUCCGGAAUUAUUGGGUUUAAAGGGUCCGUAGGCGGGCCGAUAAGUCAGGGGUGAAAGUCUGCCGCUCAACGGUAGAACUGCCUUUGAUACUGUCGGUCUUGAGUUAUAAUGAAGUUGCCGGAAUAUGUAGUGUAGCGGUGAAAUGCAUAGAUAUUACAUAGAACACCGAUUGCGAAGGCAGGUGACUAAUAUAUACUGACGCUGAUGGACGAAAGCGUGGGGAGCGAACAGGAUUAGAUACCCUGGUAGUCCACGCCGUAAACGAUGGAUACUAGCUGUCCGGAACCUUGAGUUCUGGGCGGCCAAGCGAAAGUGAUAAGUAUCCCACCUGGGGAGUACGUUCGCAAGAAUGAAACUCAAAGGAAUUGACGGGGGCCCGCACAAGCGGUGGAGCAUGUGGUUUAAUUCGAUGAUACGCGAGGAACCUUACCAGGGCUUAAAUGCAUAUUGACAGGUCUAGAGAUAGAUUUUCCUUCGGGCAAUUUGCAAGGUGCUGCAUGGUUGUCGUCAGCUCGUGCCGUGAGGUGUCAGGUUAAGUCCUAUAACGAGCGCAACCCCUACCGUUAGUUGCCAGCAUGUCAUGAUGGGGACUCUAACGGGACUGCCGGUGCAAACCGUGAGGAAGGUGGGGAUGACGUCAAAUCAUCACGGCCCUUACGUCCUGGGCCACACACGUGCUACAAUGGCAGGUACAGAGAGCAGCCAUGUCGCAAGGCAGAGCGAAUCUAUAAAACCUGUCACAGUUCGGAUCGGGGUCUGCAACUCGACCCCGUGAAGCUGGAAUCGCUAGUAAUCGGAUAUCAGCCAUGAUCCGGUGAAUACGUUCCCGGGCCUUGUACACACCGCCCGUCAAGCCAUGGAAGCCGGGAGUGCCUGAAGUCCGUCACCGUAAGGAGCGGCCUAGGGCAAGAUCGGUAA